CCUAACACAUGCUCCUCGAACGAGAGAAAAAGGUCUAGUGGCGCACGGGUGCGUAACGCGUGGGAAUUUCCCCUUGGGUUCGGGAUAACAGUUGGAAACGACUGCUAAUACCGGAUGAUGACUUCGGUCCAAAGAUUUAUCGCCUUUGGAUGAGCCCGCGUUGGAUUAGCUAGUUGGUGGGGUAACGGCCUACCAAGGCGACGAUCCAUAGCUGAUCUGAGAGGAUGAUCAGCCACACUGGGACUGAGACACGGCCCAGACUCCUACGGGAGGCAGCAGUGGG
Molecule: ribosomal RNA, 283 nt
Filed under: uncultured bacterium
Lineage: Bacteria
Description: partial 16S ribosomal RNA
Rfam family: Bacterial small subunit ribosomal RNA
Source: RNAcentral